Molecule: ribosomal RNA, 515 nt
Filed under: uncultured bacterium
Lineage: Bacteria
Description: bacterial SSU rRNA
Rfam family: Bacterial small subunit ribosomal RNA
Source: RNAcentral
GUUUGAUCCUGGCUCAGAACGAACGCUGGCGGCGUGCUUAACACAUGCAAGUCGAACGUGAUCCAGAGCUUGCUCUGGUGAAAGUGGCGCACGGGUGAGUAUCGCGUGGAUAACCUACCCUGGUGUCUGGGAUAACAUCUCGAAAGGGGUGCUAAUACCGGAUAAGCCCACGGGAUCUUCGGAUUCUGCGGGAAAAGGUGGCCUCUAUUUAUAAGCUACCGUAUCAGGAUGGGUCCGCGUACCAUUAGCUAGUUGGUGGGGUAAUGGCCUACCAAGGCUACGAUGGUUAGCUGGUCUGAGAGGAUGAUCAGCCACACUGGAACUGAGACACGGUCCAGACUCCUGCGGGAGGCAGCAGUGGGGAAUUUUGCGCAAUGGGGGAAACCCUGACGCAGCAACGCCGCGUGAGUGAUGAAGGCUUUCGGGUCGUAAAGCUCUGUCAGAGGGGAAGAAAUGGAAACGGUUAAUACCCGGUUUCUCUUANNGGGGUACCCUCAAAGGAAGCACCGGCUAAC